GAUGAACGCUGACAGAAUGCUUAACACAUGCAAGUCGAUGGGGAAGUGGUGCUUGCACCAUGGUAACCAUGGCGGACGGGUGAGUAACGCGUAAGGAACUUACCUGCGGGACCGGGAUAACAGCAGGAAACUGCUGACAAGACCGGAUAAGGUCAUUAAGCUGCAUAGCUUAGUGAUGAAAGGAGACGCCUGCGGAGAGCCUUGCGUCCUAUUAGCUAGUUGGAGGGGUAACGGCCCACCAAGGCGAAGAUAGGUAGCCGGCCUGAGAGGGUGGACGGCCACAAGGGGACUGAGAUACGGCCCUUACUCCUACGGGAGGCAGCAGUGGGGAAUAUUGGACAAUGGGGGCAACCCUGAUCCAGCAAUUCUGUGUGCACGAAGACGGUUUUCGGAUUGUAAAGUGCUUUCAGCAGGGAGGAAGGAAGUGACGGUACCUGCAGAAGAAGCGACGGCUAAAUACGUG
This 463-nucleotide ribosomal RNA is filed under the name uncultured bacterium. RNAcentral describes it as "partial 16S ribosomal RNA". It matches the Rfam family "Bacterial small subunit ribosomal RNA", at positions 28 to 507 of the family's 1533-position model. The record is from RNAcentral.